GGCCAGAUGGCUCAGCUGGUAGAGCAUUUGACUAGGGAUUCAGAGGGCCCGGUUUUCGAAUCCCGGUCUGGUCC
Non-coding RNA from Ostrea edulis (European flat oyster), 74 nucleotides. The record is from the annotation of a RefSeq genome assembly. NCBI's taxonomy places the organism in Eukaryota, Metazoa, Mollusca, Bivalvia, Ostreida, Ostreidae.